CGAGGGUGCAAGCGUUAAUCGGAAUUACUGGGCGUAAAGCGAGUGUAGGCGGUUACUUAAGUCGGAUGUGAAAUCCCCGGGCUCAACCUGGGAAUUGCAUUCGAUACUGGGUAGCUAGAGUUUGGUAGAGGUAAGUGGAAUUCCGGGUGUAGCGGUGAAAUGCGUAGAUAUCCGGAGGAACAUCAGUGGCGAAGGCGGCUUACUGGACCAAAACUGACGCUGAGGCUCGAAAGCGUGGGGAGCAAACAGGAUUAGAUACCCGAGUAGUCC
Molecule: ribosomal RNA, 270 nt
Filed under: uncultured archaeon
Lineage: Archaea
Description: partial 16S ribosomal RNA
Rfam family: Bacterial small subunit ribosomal RNA
Source: RNAcentral